Rhipicephalus microplus (southern cattle tick) is the source of this 175-nucleotide long non-coding RNA. The record is from RefSeq and is a predicted model, not a curated record. NCBI's taxonomy places the organism in Eukaryota, Metazoa, Arthropoda, Arachnida, Ixodida, Ixodidae.
UGGCAUGGAAGCACGGCCGGAGCGAUGUUCUUACGCCUCUUGUUCGUUGCGCAGGAAGACAUGCAGGGAAAAAGAAUGUUGCAGAUGCGCAGCUUGAGUGAAGCAAUGAUUGCGAUAGCAACGCGAUGGAAUGUCAUACGGAGUAAAGCUAUGAGCAAACUUUUUUUAGCAUCCA